This 331-nucleotide unclassified non-coding RNA is filed under the name Hevea brasiliensis (rubber tree). Lineage: Eukaryota; Viridiplantae; Streptophyta; Magnoliopsida; Malpighiales; Euphorbiaceae. The record is from RNAcentral.
GUUCAUCGAGAGCCUUCUGAGCCAGGUCUUUCUUUUCGAGCCUCUCCUGCUCAGCAGCCAGUACAUCUCUCUCAGCAGCAUCAAGUCGUGUCUCGAGAGUUCGGUGAAUCUCUUCUAUGACUUGAAGAUAAUGAUUCUUUUCAUUUGACAAAUUAAGAAUCCGAGACUGCAGUUCCCGCGCUUCUGCUGCUAGUAUAGCUUUCUCACCGUAAACUUCACCAGCAUGCAUGUCGUUUGCCUCCUUUGCAUGCUUCAGCAUCUGCUUGAGUUCCUCCACCUUUGUAAUUGUGUUUUCACCGGCCAUGGAGGCUUCAUCUUUAGCCAAUAUUGC